Molecule: long non-coding RNA, 349 nt
Organism: Panthera uncia (snow leopard)
Lineage: Eukaryota; Metazoa; Chordata; Mammalia; Carnivora; Felidae
Exons: 2
Source: RefSeq, a predicted model, not a curated record
UCCAUUCUCCCAGGGGUUCUGGUAUUCUGUAAGAUAAUGUAGUGAUUCAUCCUUCUGUUUCCAGAAACUAGAGGGUAUGAGAAUAAAGGAAAUCAAUGAUACAUAUGAUGUAUAUUGCCACGUUGGAGAAGGUCAUUGAAAAGACACGAUUGACCUGCGAGCUGGACUCGGCUGGUUUCAGAUCCCAUCCAGAGAGCUCCAGAGAGGGCUGUGAACCAUCAUGCCAACAGAUACACAGAAACACACCAGAGGGAAUCAGCUGAAGAUCGCUGUAGUCCUGACUCCUGCCACAUCCUUCUCUGGUACCUCAUGCAACUCAACUAUCAUUUAAAGGCUUUUUGAAACACUC